UACGUAGGGCGCAAGCGUUUGUCCGGAAUUAUUGGGCGUAAAGAGCUCGUAGGCGGCUUGUCACGUCGGGGUGUGAAAGCCCGGGGCUUAACCCCGGGUCUGCAUUCGAUACGGGCUAGCUAGAGUGUGGUAGGGGAGAUCGGAAUUCCUGGUGUAGCGGUGAAAUGUGCAGAUAUCAGGAGGAACACCGGUGGCGAAGGCGGGUCUCUGGGCAACAACUGACGCUGGAGGAGCGAAAGCGUGGGGGAGCGAACAGG
This 257-nucleotide ribosomal RNA is filed under the name uncultured bacterium. RNAcentral's name for it is "partial 16S ribosomal RNA". It matches the Rfam family "Bacterial small subunit ribosomal RNA", at positions 524 to 776 of the family's 1533-position model. The record is from RNAcentral.